RNAcentral lists this ribosomal RNA (1244 nucleotides) under metagenome. RNAcentral describes it as "bacterial SSU rRNA". It matches the Rfam family "Bacterial small subunit ribosomal RNA", at positions 243 to 1520 of the family's 1533-position model. The record is from RNAcentral.
AGCUAGUCGGUAGGGUAAUAGCCUACCAAGGCAUAGACGGGUAGCUGGUCUGAGAGGACGAUCAGCCACACUGGGACUGAGACACGGCCCAGACACCUACGGGUGGCAGCAGUGGGGAAUUUUCGGCAAUGGGCGCAAGCCUGACCGAGCCAUGCCGCGUGCAGGACGACAGCCUUAGGGUUGUAAACUGCUGUGGAAAGCUACUAAAUAAAUGAAGAACUUUCUAGAAAGGGGUUGCUAACUCUGUGCCAGCAGCAGCGGUAAUACAGAGACCCCAAGCGUUAUCCGGUUUCAUUGGGCGUAAAGCGUUCCGAUCGGUGGUUUCGUGUGUCUAGGGUGAAAGACCGCAGCUUAACUGCGUGUUUGCUCUGGAAACUGCGUUACUAGAGGUAUCAAGAGGUAACUGGAACUCUACAAGUAGGGGUGAAAUCCGUUGAUAUGUAGGGGAACACCAAAAGCGAAGGCAAGUUACUUGGGAUAUCCUGACACUGCUAGGACGAAAGCGUGGGGAGCGAUACGGAUUAGAUACCCGUGUAGUCCACGCCCUAAACGAUGAGUGUUUGCUUUUGGAGAGAAUCAAUCCUCUUCAGAGGCAAAAGCUAACGCUAUAAACACUCCGCCUGUAUAGUACGGCCGCAAGGCUAAAACACAAAGAAAUUGACGGGAGCCCGCACAAGCAGUGGAUCAUGUGGCUUAAUUCGAUAGUAAGCGAGGAACCUCACCUAGGCUUGACAUGUACUUGCAAAUUCUAUGAAAGUAGAACUCCUUCGAGGGUAGUACACAGGUGAUGUACGGUCGUCGUCAGCUCGUGUCGUGAGAUGUUCGGUUAAGUCCGGUAACGAGCGCAACCCUAAUCCUUAGUUAUUUAAUGUCUAAGGAGACUGCCCGAGUUUAAUCGGGAGGAAGGAUAGGAUGACGUCAGAUCAGCGUGUCCCUUAUGUCUAGGGCGGCACACAUGAUACAAUGGGUAGAGUACAGAGAGACAGCCAGCACGCAAGUGUGAGCAAAUCCUUAAAACUCCCCUUAGUUCGGAUUGAAGGCUGAAACUCGCCUUCAUGAAGCUGGAAUUGCUAGUAAUCGUGAAUCAGCCUCUUCACGGUGAAUACGUUCUCGGGCUUUGUACACACUGCCCGUCAAGGUCUGGGAGUUGGGGGAGCCCCAAAACUCAAGUUUUUUGGGUCAAAGGCUAAACCAGCGACUGGAUUUAAGUCGUAACAAGGCAUCCGUAGCGGAAGCUGUGGAUG